RNAcentral lists this ribosomal RNA (499 nucleotides) under uncultured bacterium. RNAcentral describes it as "bacterial SSU rRNA". It matches the Rfam family "Bacterial small subunit ribosomal RNA", at positions 28 to 507 of the family's 1533-position model. The record is from RNAcentral.
GGCUAACGCUGGCGGCGUGUCUUAGCCAUGCAAGUCGAGCGGACUUAUGGGGUAACUUAUAAGUCAGCGGCGGACGGCGGAGUAACACGUAGCUAACCUACCCUCUGGACGGGGAUAACCUACCGAAAGGUGGGCUAAUACCCGAUGUAGUCAUCCUGUAUAGGGGUGAUGAAAGGUGGGCUUCUGUUUACAAGCUCAUGCUGGAGGAGGGGGCUGCGGCCUAUCAGGUAGUUGGUAGGGGUAAUAGCCUACCAAGCCGAUGACGGGUAGCCGGCCUGAGAGGGUGACCGGCCCGAGGGGCACUGAGAUACGGGUCCCACUCCUACGGGAGGCAGCAGGCUAGAAAUUUGGGCAAUGGGGGAAACCCUGACCCAGUGACGCCGCGUGCAGGAAGGAGCCCUUCGGGGUGUAAACUGCUGUCGUGUAGGGAGAAGGGUACUAAGGUGAACAAUCUUAGUACUUGACGGUACUACAGGAGGAAGCCCAGGCUAACCUCGUG